GACGAACCGUCCAAACGUUAUUCGGAAUCACUGGGCUUAAAGGGUGCGUAGGCGGCGCGGUAAGUUGGGUGUGAAAGACCUCGGCCUAACCGAGGAAUGGCGCCCAAAACUGCCGUGCUCGAGCAAGGCAGAGGUGAACGGAACUUAGGGUGGAGCGGUGAAAUGCGUUGAUAUCCUAAGGAACACCAGUAGCGAAAGCGGUUCACUGGGCCUUUUCUGACGCUGAUGCACGAAAGCCAGGGGAGCGAACGGG
Molecule: ribosomal RNA, 253 nt
Filed under: uncultured bacterium
Lineage: Bacteria
Description: partial 16S ribosomal RNA
Rfam family: Bacterial small subunit ribosomal RNA
Source: RNAcentral